This 301-nucleotide ribosomal RNA is filed under the name uncultured bacterium. RNAcentral describes it as "partial 16S ribosomal RNA". It matches the Rfam family "Bacterial small subunit ribosomal RNA", at positions 509 to 809 of the family's 1533-position model. The record is from RNAcentral.
CAGUCGCCACGGGAAUACGGAGGGUGCAGGCGUUAAUCGGAAUUACUGGGCGUAAAGCGCACGCAGGCGGUUUGUUAAGUCAGAUGUGAAAUCCCCGAGCUUAACUUGGGAACUGCAUUUGAAACUGGCAAGCUAGAGUCUUGUAGAGGGGGGUAGAAUUCCAGGUGUAGCGGUGAAAUGCGUAGAGAUCUGGAGGAAUGCCGGUGGCGAAGGCGGCCCCCUGGACAAAGACUGACGCUCAGGUGCGAAAGCGUGGGGAGCAAACAGGAUUAGAUACCCCGGUAGUCCCUGUCUCUUAUAU